This 382-nucleotide ribosomal RNA is filed under the name uncultured bacterium. RNAcentral describes it as "bacterial SSU rRNA". It matches the Rfam family "Bacterial small subunit ribosomal RNA", at positions 30 to 420 of the family's 1533-position model. The record is from RNAcentral.
AUUGAACGCUGGCGGCAUGCCUAACACAUGCAAGUCGAACGGGGUGUAGCAAUACAUCUAGUGGCGGACGGGUGAGGAAUACAUAGGAAUUUGCCCUUAAGUGUGGGAUAGUCCGGGGAAACUCGGUUUAAUACCGCAUGAUCUCGUGAGAGCAAAGCAGGGGACCGCAAGGCCUUGCGCUUUUGGAGAAGCCUAUGUCGGAUUAGCUAGUUGGUAGGGUAAUGGCCUACCAAGGCGACGAUCCGUAACUGGUCUGAGAGGAUGAUCAGUCACACCGGAACUGAGACACGGUCCGGACUCCUACGGGAGGCAGCAGUGGGGAAUAUUGGACAAUGGGCGCAAGCCUGAUCCAGCAAUGCCGCGUGUGUGAAGAAGGCCUCGG